This 306-nucleotide ribosomal RNA is filed under the name uncultured bacterium. Its description in RNAcentral is "bacterial SSU rRNA". It matches the Rfam family "Bacterial small subunit ribosomal RNA", at positions 28 to 334 of the family's 1533-position model. The record is from RNAcentral.
GACGAACGCUGGCGGCGUGCUUAACACAUGCAAGUCAAGGAGAAGCCGGAGCUUGCUCUGGUGGACACUGGCGCACGGGUGAGUAACGCGUAGGCAAUCUGCCUUUUGCACUGACAUAACAGAUCUAACGGUCUGCUAAUAUCAGAUGACGCACAUCUAUGGCAUCAUAGACGUGUUAAAGUUUUAAUGGCAAGAGAUGAGCCUGCGUCCCAUUAGGUAGUUGGUAGGGUAACGGCCUACCAAGCCGACGAUGGGUAGCUGGUCUGAGAGGAUGAUCAGCCACAUUGGGACUGAGACACGGCCCAG